CGCGCAUGGAUUGGGAGCCUGGCGGAACCCUAUAACCUGCAAUCCGCUGCAAGCAGGGUCCGAACCCGGAUGAGAAAUUAAGACUAUGCUUUUCCCGCAGUUCGCUGGUACUGUCGGGUCUUGCGCAAUAGCACCCUGUGAACCCCGUCAGGUUCGGAAGAAAGCAGCGGUAAGCAGAUCGUUCUAUGUGCCGCAAGGGUGCCUGAUAGUAUUUGCGGCUGCGGGAAUUCAUAUGAUUUUGAUUUCACAGCCGGGUGCGCG
RNAcentral lists this signal recognition particle RNA (261 nucleotides) under Acidaminobacter sp. Its description in RNAcentral is "signal recognition particle sRNA large type". It matches the Rfam family "Bacterial large signal recognition particle RNA". Rfam says of the family: The signal recognition particle (SRP) is a universally conserved ribonucleoprotein involved in the co-translational targeting of proteins to membranes. Archaeal SRP consists of a 7S RNA and homologues of the eukaryotic SRP19 and SRP54 proteins. Lineage: Bacteria; Bacillati; Bacillota; Clostridia; Peptostreptococcales; Acidaminobacteraceae. The record is from RNAcentral.